Brachypodium distachyon (stiff brome) is the source of this 2136-nucleotide long non-coding RNA. RefSeq lists it as uncharacterized. The record is from RefSeq and is a predicted model, not a curated record. The transcript is spliced from 2 exons. Lineage: Eukaryota; Viridiplantae; Streptophyta; Magnoliopsida; Poales; Poaceae.
CCAGAGUCACCCGCUGAGCCAGCCAAAGAUGCCUUCGUUCUCCCAGCUCAAAAACAAAUCUCGAUCUCGUCUCCUACUCUCCGUUCCCCUCCCUCUUGCCGUCUCCGCGUCGGCCCUCCCCGCCCUGCCCCGCCGACCGUUGUAGCUGCGCCUCCCCACCGUACUCGCGCCGCCCCGCUCUACCCCGCUGCUCCGCCAUACCCGCUCCACCUCGCCGUAGCUGUGCCUCCCUGCUGUAGUGGCGCCGCCCCGCCGUACCCACGCCGCCCCCUGCCCGCGCCACCCCGCCCUCCACAGCGCCGCUGGCACCUUUCCUGCGAGGACCGCCUCCGCUGUCAUGGCUGCACCGCCGCUAGAACGCGGUUGCGGGACCAUGCCUGGAACCACGGCAGCGGCGGUGUCCGUCUUUCUCGUGGUGACUCCCUGUGGUGUGACCGUCCCCUUCUGGUUCUACGACCACCGGACCGUCUUUUCACAUCCUGUGAGCGCCGCCCCCUUCUGGUUCGUCCUCUCUCCCUCUCAAUCUUUUCUAGCUCUCUCUCUAUCUCUAUAUCUAGGUCUCUUUAUGUGCAGAUGUGCUUGGAUUUAGUUUUUUUUAUGAACUUUGCAAUGUGCCAUCUUCUAGGUGUAUUUCUAAUUCUUUAUGUCGAUGUCUAUUUGCUGCAUAAUUGUGUCCAGGGAUGUUUGUUUAAUUGGUCUAUUUGCUUCAUAAUUGUGAAGUUUGGCUAUACUCCUUUUUCAUUAUUCAGAUGCCUAGGCAUGUGAUCAUCUGUUUGUUGCGAACAGGAUAGAAUGUUGUAGAAUGGAAACUCAAUUGGAAGUCCCAUAAGAGAUAUAGCAGUGCAUGCACACCUUAGUUAAUUAGAGAAUAUGGAGAUGAAUAUUGCAAUUUUAGCAUAUUCAAUCGAAUUCAGUUUUUGUAGUGGAAUGUUUCAUGAAAUAAAGUCAAUUUUUUUAUGAUGCACUGCUAUAUCAGUUUGUUCACUUAAUUGUGAUGCAUGCAUACUUGUAUCAGUGCUCACUGAAAGAUGCUCAGACUUCAUCAUUUAGAUAGCCUCAUAGCCAUCAUAAUAUGCUGCUUGUUUUCCCUUGCCUUAUUUCUUUUGUGACCAGUUAUGCAUAACUAUUCUCAUCAUUAGACAUUCUGUUACAAUUGUUUUGGGUAUACAUGCAUGAUUUAUCUGAAAUAAGUGAAUUGGAAAUUAAAAACACUCACAUUAGCAUUCGAACUAAAAUUUCCUGUGUUGACAAAGGGUCAUAUCUAAGCAUCACAAACAUACUGGAACCUGAAUGUGCCUACUCAAGUUUGUUGGUUUGGACCACAGUUUUUCGCCUCUAACAUCUCAUAAACAUGUUUAUGUUUCUGAUCUCUAGCUUCUUUUGCUGGGUCGUGCAAGAAGAAUAGAAGGAAUCCGGUGAUGCUAGUUCUGUGAUGACAGAUUGAGUAAUCUGAAUGCGCUACUCUCCUUUAUAUUCCUUGGAAUUAAUUUGUCAUUCAUGGUUUCUUUCUAAGGCAUUUUAGCUUUAUAUGAUUCUUUGAAAAAAUGAUUUGCUUUGUGCUAUCUGAAUGAUGUGUGAAAUCUUAGCAAUUGAUUUAGUUCUUACUGCUACAUGUACUAUCUAAAUGUCCUAUAAUUUGAGCAUUGUUUGUGCAACACAAUUGUGUGAAGCCUGCUGAUCACAUGUAAAUGUUCUAGAGCUUGGUGUUCAGCGGUAUGUACAAUAUCGACACAGCUAACUGUAGUACUACUUGCAACAUUAUUUUGCUUUGUCUAAUUAAUUUUUACAUGCUUUUCAGAGAAAUACAAAUUUUUGCUGGCCAGAUUGAAGGAAUAGAGAACAAAUUGAUCUUCCGUGCUACAAAGCAAUCAAAUCAAGAUGGGUUAUUUGGAGGUUUCUUUGAGCCCGGAACAGGAGCGCUUGCUUUCUCAUCGCUGCUCAUGAGCAACCAAAUGCCAACAACUUAAUAAGUUUUGUGUAUGCUUUUUUUUGGUGUAGCAAACUAUAGCCAUUUACUGAUCUGUUAUGGUUGUAAAUGAGGUAGUUUUUUGUGUAGCACAAACACUUGCUACUGAUCACGAACAUGUUAUUUGAAUGAAGACUUGAGAUUGAUUGGAACAAUUUGUGUUAUGUGUA